Molecule: small nuclear RNA, 169 nt
Filed under: Ailuropoda melanoleuca (giant panda)
Lineage: Eukaryota; Metazoa; Chordata; Mammalia; Carnivora; Ursidae
Description: U2 spliceosomal RNA (ENSAMEG00000028753.1)
Rfam family: U2 spliceosomal RNA
About the family: U2 is a small nuclear RNA (snRNA) component of the spliceosome (involved in pre-mRNA splicing). Complementary binding between U2 snRNA (in an area lying towards the 5' end but 3' to hairpin I) and the branchpoint sequence (BPS) of the intron results the bulging out of an unpaired adenosine, on the BPS, which initiates a nucleophilic attack at the intronic 5' splice site, thus starting the first of two transesterification reactions that mediate splicing.
Source: RNAcentral
AUAGCUUCUCAGCCUUUUGGCUAAGAUCAAGUGUAAAAUAUUAGUUUUUCUAAUUGUUUAAAUCAGUAUAAAUUAGGUUGGUCUUUUUUUCUAUAGAAAACAUCCUGCUUGCGGGGCGCCUGGGUGGCAUAGCGGUUAAGCGUCUGCCUUCGGCUCAGGGCGUGAUCCU